GACGAACGCUGGCGGCGUGCUUAACACAUGCAAGUCGAACGGAAAGGCCCUGCUUGCUGGGUACUCGAGUGGCGAACGGGUGAGUAACACGUGGGUGAUCUGCCCUGCACUUCGGGAUAAGCCUGGGAAACUGGGUCUAAUACCGGAUAGGAGCCAUUUUUAGUGUGAUGGUUGGAAAGUUUUUUCGGUGUAGGGUGAGCUCGCGGCCUAUCAGCUUGUUGGUGGGGUAAUGGCCUACCAAGGCGGCGACGGGUAGCCGGCCUGUGAGGGUGGACGGCCACAUUGGGACUGAGAUACGGCCCAGACGCCUACGGGAGGCAGAAGGGGGGAAGAUUGCACCAUGGGCGCAAGCCGGAUGCAGCGACGCCGCGGGGGGGAUGACGGCCUUCGGGUUGUAAACGCCUUUCGCGAGGGACGAAGCUUUUUGUGACGGUACCUAGAUAAGAAGCACCGGCUAACUACGUG
RNAcentral lists this ribosomal RNA (465 nucleotides) under uncultured bacterium. RNAcentral's name for it is "partial 16S ribosomal RNA". It matches the Rfam family "Bacterial small subunit ribosomal RNA", at positions 28 to 507 of the family's 1533-position model. The record is from RNAcentral.